RNAcentral lists this ribosomal RNA (253 nucleotides) under uncultured bacterium. Its description in RNAcentral is "partial 16S ribosomal RNA". It matches the Rfam family "Bacterial small subunit ribosomal RNA", at positions 524 to 776 of the family's 1533-position model. The record is from RNAcentral.
GACAGAGGAGCCAAGCGUUGUCCGGAAUGACUGGGCGUAAAGCGCACGCAGGUGGUCGUGUACGUGUCGUGUGAAAGCAGCUCGCUUAACGAGCUGAGGCCACGACAGACUGCGCGACUGGAGCCCGUGAGAGGUCCGUGGAAUUGCCGGUGUAGUGGUGAAAUGCGUAGAGAUCGGCAGGAACACCCAUGGGGAAGCCAACGGACUGGCACGGCGCUGACACUGAGGUGCGACAGCGUGGGGAGCAAACGGG